UGGGGAAUAUUGCGCAAUGGGGGAAACCCUGACGCAGCAACGCCGCGUGAAGGAAGAAGGUUUUCGGAUUGUAAACUUCUUUUGUUAGGGAAGAAAAUGACGGUACCUAACGAAUAAGCUCCGGCUAACUACGUGCCAGCAGCCGCGGUAAUACGUAGGGAGCAAGCGUUAUCCGGAUUUACUGGGUGUAAAGGGCGAGUAGGCGGGACUGCAAGUCAGAUGUGAAAACUAUGGGCUUAACCCAUAGACUGCAUUUGAAACUGUGGUUCUUGAGUGAUGGAGAGGCAGGCGGAAUUCCUAGUGUAGCGGUGAAAUGCGUAGAUAUUAGGAGGAACACCAGUGGCGAAGGCGGCCUGCUGGACAUUAACUGACGCUGAGGCGCGAAAGCGUGGGGAGCAAACA
This is a ribosomal RNA of 402 nucleotides. It matches the Rfam family "Bacterial small subunit ribosomal RNA", at positions 355 to 774 of the family's 1533-position model.